This 680-nucleotide ribosomal RNA is filed under the name fungal sp. RNAcentral describes it as "eukaryotic LSU rRNA". The stretch from base 102 to 680 matches the Rfam family "Eukaryotic large subunit ribosomal RNA", at positions 1 to 591 of the family's 3401-position model. The record is from RNAcentral. Lineage: Eukaryota; Fungi.
UACAGUGGCGGUCCCGCCGCAGCUUCCAUCGCGUAGUAGCUAACACCUCGCGACUGGAGAGCGGCGCGGCCACGCCGUAAAACACCCAACUCUUCUGAAGUUGACCUCGAAUCAGGUAGGAAUACCCGCUGAACUUAAGCAUAUCAAUAAGCGGAGGAAAAGAAACCAACAGGGAUUGCCCCAGUAACGGCGAGUGAAGCGGCAACAGCUCAAAUUUGAAAUCUGGCUCUCGGGCCCGAGUUGUAAUUUGUAGAGGAUGCUUUUGGUGAGGUGCCUUCCGAGUUCCCUGGAACGGGACGCCAUAGAGGGUGAGAGCCCCGUCUGGUUGGACGCCGAACCUCUGUAAAGCUCCUUCGACGAGUCGAGUAGUUUGGGAAUGCUGCUCUAAAUGGGAGGUAUAUGUCUUCUAAAGCUAAAUACCGGCCAGAGACCGAUAGCGCACAAGUAGAGUGAUCGAAAGAUGAAAAGAACUUUGAAAAGAGAGUUAAACAGUACGUGAAAUUGUUGAAAGGGAAGCGCUUGUGACCAGACUUGGGCUUGGUUGAUCAUCCGGGGUUCUCCCCGGUGCACUCUUCCGGCCCAGGCCAGCAUCAGUUCGCCCUGGGGGACAAAGGCAUCGGGAACGUGGCUCUCUCCGGGGAGUGUUAUAGCCCGUUGCGUAAUACCCUGUGGCGGACUGA